Molecule: ribosomal RNA, 467 nt
Filed under: Fusarium oxysporum
Lineage: Eukaryota; Fungi; Ascomycota; Sordariomycetes; Hypocreales; Nectriaceae
Description: eukaryotic LSU rRNA
Rfam family: 5.8S ribosomal RNA (bases 116-269)
Source: RNAcentral
ACCACUUGUUGCCUCGGCGGAUCAGCCCGCUCCCGGUAAAACGGGACGGCCCGCCAGAGGACCCCUAAACUCUGUUUCUAUAUGUAACUUCUGAGUAAAACCAUAAAUAAAUCAAAACUUUCAACAACGGAUCUCUUGGUUCUGGCAUCGAUGAAGAACGCAGCAAAAUGCGAUAAGUAAUGUGAAUUGCAGAAUUCAGUGAAUCAUCGAAUCUUUGAACGCACAUUGCGCCCGCCAGUAUUCUGGCGGGCAUGCCUGUUCGAGCGUCAUUUCAACCCUCAAGCACAGCUUGGUGUUGGGACUCGCGUUAAUUCGCGUUCCCCAAAUUGAUUGGCGGUCACGUCGAGCUUCCAUAGCGUAGUAGUAAAACCCUCGUUACUGGUAAUCGUCGCGGCCACGCCGUUAAACCCCAACUUCUGAAUGUUGACCUCGGAUCAGGUAGGAAUACCCGCUGAACUUAAGCAUAU